CUCUGCAUCUAAGCACCUUAGGAUUGUUGAAGUCAAAUGUAAUGGGAACGAUGAGAUGGUCCGUGAAGUUCCAAAGGUCUUAAGUUCUUGGGGUGUCCCUUCUGACCAAGUUAAUGUCCAACAUCGAAAUCUCCAUCUAGCAGUAAGAUAACUACUGUCACUAUUGAUUCUCCCUUUAUUUUUUAAUCUUAGUUUGAGAAGGCCUCGCCAAUGAUUAUACUCCUGCAUAAAAUAAAAAUUUCAACCUGCCUUUUACUUUUGUUUGUACCUUCUUUUACUGAUAUCAACAUCCGCUUAAAAAAAAGUGUGCUACUAUGUAAUACCUACUUGUUGAUUAUCAAAUUGAGAAUGCAAAUGCUUGUAAUAAAUAUUUACCAUGGCUAAUUAUCAGGUAAUAGUAAGCUUUUAUAUCAAAUAAUAAAUGGAAUUUCUGAAUGAAUUCAUGUAGGUAAGAAAUGCACCUAACUUUACAAUGAUUAGAUCAAGUCGAAAGUUUACUAUUGUGAUCACAAUAUUUUUAGUGUUCUUCACAGAUUUCCUGUGGUACGACCCAUCCUUUUAUUUUCCGGGAAGAGUAUUGCCUUUUAACUUGUGAAGACCAGGUUGUGUUGCAUACCACAGAGCCUACACCAUUCUGGUAUGACAAGGAAGUAUCAAGGUAUUCAAGAAGGUGAGAUAAUUCUCGAGAAGACAUGGAAGGGAGAAGAAGGCCCAAUCCAUUGCCUUUUCAAAUCUGUUUCUCCUCUCUCAGUUUGGCCAGAAGUAGCCACAUAUCAGAUAUGGGUGGUUGUUUAUGUCAGGGACUGUCCCUUGUAGUGUGAUUCUUUGUAGAAUUGGGAGCGCUGCCUGGAUUCAACAGUGAGUCAUUGCAGUACUCUUCCAGCUGUCCAUUUUGGUUCAUGUUUGGUAACUGGAACAGUGGUUAACUCGAUCUUGUUGGACAACUGAAGUAUCCCCAAUCAUUCCUUCCCCUGUUUCCCAUCUGAGUAGGUUAUCUAUCAACUAUACAAGUGUUAUGG
Molecule: long non-coding RNA, 1019 nt
Filed under: Brachypodium distachyon (stiff brome)
Lineage: Eukaryota; Viridiplantae; Streptophyta; Magnoliopsida; Poales; Poaceae
Description: long non-coding RNA (BDIS_LNC004933)
Source: RNAcentral